AGUGGCGAGCGAAACCGGAUGAGGCCAAACCGCAGGCGUGCAAGACCCGGCAGGGGUUGCGCAGGCGGGGUUGUGGGAUCUCUUGUGACCAGUCUGCCGGCUGGUCGGCGAGUCAGAAACCGUUGGCGUAGGCGAAGGACAUGCGAAAGGUCCGGCGCAGAGGGUAAGACCCCCGUAGCCGAAACGUCAGAAAGCGAGUCCGAACAGGGCGGUUUCAGUAGCACGCUCAAGACCCGAAGCGGAGUGAUCUAGCCAUGGGCAGGUUGAAGCGGAGGUAAGACUUCGUGGAGGACCGAACCCACCAGGGUUGAAAACCUGGGGGAUGACCUGUGGUUAGGGGUGAAAGGCCAAUCAAACUCCGUGAUAGCUGGUUCUCCCCGAAAUGCAUUUAGGUGCAGCGUCGCGUGUUUCUUGCCGGAGGUAGAGCACUGGAUAGGCGAUGGGCCCUACCGGGUUACUGACCUUAGCCAAACUCCGAAUGCCGGCAAGUGAGAGCGCGGCAGUGAGACCGUGGGGGAUAAGCUCCAUGGUCGAGAGGGAAACAGCCCAGAGCAUCGACUAAGGCCCCCAAGCGUACGCUAAGUGGGAAAGGAUGUGGAGUCGCUCAGACAACCAGGAGGUUGGCUCAGAAGCAGCCAUCCUUGAAAGAGUGCGUAAUAGCUCACUGGUCUAGUGAUUCCGCGCCGACAAUGUAGCGGGGCUCAAGCGUACCGCCGAAGUCGUGUCAUUGCGAUAUCAGUGAGAAUGCAGGCAUGAGUAGCGAUUCACACGUGGGAAACGUGUGCGCCGAUUGACCAAGGGUUCCUGGGUCAAGUUGAUCUGCCCAGGGUAAGUCGGGACCUAAGGCGAGGCCGACAGGCGUAGUCGAUGGACAACCGGUUGAUAUUCCGGUACCCGCCGUGCCGCGACAGACAUCGAGCCCUCCACGGCGAAGUGGAUGAUCCUAUGCUGUCGAGAAAAGCCUCUAGCGAGUUGCACGGCGGCCCGUACCCCAAACCGACUCAGGUGGUCAGGUAGAGAAUACCGAGGCGUUCGGGUGAACUAUGGUUAAGGAACUCGGCAAAAUGCCCCCGUAACUUCGGGAGAAGGGGGGCCGCUUCCGGUGACGGGUCUUGCACCCCGAGCUGGGGGCGGCCGCAGAGACCAGCGAGAAGCGACUGUUUACUAAAAACACAGGUCCGUGCGAAGCCGUAAGGCGAGGUAUACGGACUGACGCCUGCCCGGUGCUGGAACGUUAAGGGGACCGGUUAGCUCCAUUUCGGUGGGGCGACGCUGAGAACUUAAGCGCCAGUAAACGGCGGUGGUAACUAUAACCAUCCUAAGGUAGCGAAAUUCCUUGUCGGGUAAGUUCCGACCUGCACGAAUGGCGUAACGACUUCUCGGCUGUCUCAACCAUAGGCCCGGUGAAAUUGCACUACGAGUAAAGAUGCUCGUUUCGCGCAGCAGGACGGAAAGACCCCGGGACCUUUACUACAGUUUGAUAUUGGUGUUCGGUUCGGCUUGUGUAGGAUAGCUGGGAGACCGUGAAGCCGUCACGCCAGUGGUGGUGGAGUCGUCGUUGAAAUACCAGUCUGGUCGUGCUGGAUGUCUAACCUGGGUCCGUGAUCCGGAUCAGGGACAGUGUCUGAUGGGUAGUUUAACUGGGGCGGUUGCCUCCUAAAGGGUAACGGAGGCGCCCAAAGGUUCCCUCAGCCUGGUUGGCAAUCAGGUGGUGAGUGUAAGUGCACAAGGGAGCUUGACUGUGAGACCGACGGGUCGAGCAGGGACGAAAGUCGGGACUAGUGAUCCGGCGGUGGCUUGUGGAAGCGCCGUCGCUCAACGGAUAAAAGGUACCCCGGGGAUAACAGGCUGAUCUUCCCCAAGAGUCCAUAUCGACGGGAUGGUUUGGCACCUCGAUGUCGGCUCGUCGCAUCCUGGGGCUGGAG
Molecule: ribosomal RNA, 1925 nt
Filed under: Streptomyces triticisoli
Lineage: Bacteria; Bacillati; Actinomycetota; Actinomycetes; Kitasatosporales; Streptomycetaceae
Description: bacterial LSU rRNA
Rfam family: Bacterial large subunit ribosomal RNA
Source: RNAcentral